GGACCAAGGAGUCUAGCAUGUGCGCGAGUCAUUGGGACUCUAACGAAACCUAAAGGCGCAAUGAAAGUGAAGGUCCGCCCUGCGCGGACCGAGGGAGGAUGGGGGGUUCCGAGGAACCUCCUCGCACUCCCGGGGCGUCUCGUUCUCAUCGCGAGAAGAGGCGCACCCAGAGCGUACACGCUGGGACCCGAAAGAUGGUGAACUAUGCCUGGUCAGGACGAAGUCAGGGGAAACCCUGAUGGAGGUCCGUAGCGAUUCUGACGUGCAAAUCGAUCGUCGGAACUGGGUAUAGGGGCGAAAGACUAAUCGAACCAUCUAGUAGCUGGUUCCCUCCGAAGUUUCCCUCAGGAUAGCUGGCGCUCGCUUCUCGCGAGUCUCAUUCGGUAAAGCGAAUGAUUAGAGGCAUUGGGGUCGAAACGGCCUCAACCUAUUCUCAAACUUUAAAUGGGUGAGAUCUCCGGCUUGCUUGAACUGUGAAGCCGCGAGAUAUCGGAUCAGAGUGCCAAGUGGGCCACUUUUGGUAAGCAGAACUGGCGCUGUGGGAUGAACCAAACGCCGAGUUAAAGCGCCUAAAUCGACGCUUAUGGGAUACCAUGAAAGGCGUUGGUAACUUAAGACAGCAGGACGGUGGCCAUGGAAGUCGGA
RNAcentral lists this ribosomal RNA (645 nucleotides) under Ceratochelus sp. SA1. Its description in RNAcentral is "eukaryotic LSU rRNA". It matches the Rfam family "Eukaryotic large subunit ribosomal RNA", at positions 663 to 1265 of the family's 3401-position model. RNAcentral also lists the same sequence under 1 other name. The record is from RNAcentral. Lineage: Eukaryota; Metazoa; Arthropoda; Insecta; Coleoptera; Scarabaeidae.